This 855-nucleotide ribosomal RNA is filed under the name Emericellopsis minima. Its description in RNAcentral is "LSU rRNA". It matches the Rfam family "Eukaryotic large subunit ribosomal RNA", at positions 75 to 964 of the family's 3401-position model. The record is from RNAcentral. Lineage: Eukaryota; Fungi; Ascomycota; Sordariomycetes; Hypocreales; Bionectriaceae.
UUGCCCAGUAACGGCGAGUGAAGCGGCAACAGCUCAAAUUUGAAAUCUGGCCUCGUGCCCGAGUUGUAAUUUGUAGAGGAUGCUUUUGGCGACGCGCCUUCCGAGUUCCCUGGAACGGGACGCCAUAGAGGGUGAGAGCCCCGUCCGGUCGUGCGCCUAGCCUCUGUAAAGCUCCUUCGACGAGUCGAGUAGUUUGGGAAUGCUGCUCUAAAUGGGAGGUAUACGUCUUCUAAAGCUAAAUACCGGCCAGAGACCGAUAGCGCACAAGUAGAGUGAUCGAAAGAUGAAAAGCACUUUGAAAAGAGGGUUAAAUAGUACGUGAAAUUGCUGAAAGGGAAGCGCUUAUGACCAGACUUGGGCGCGGCGGAUCAUCCGGCGUUCUCGCCGGUGCACUCCACCGCCCCAGGCCAGCAUCAGUUCGCGCCGGGGGACAAAGGCUUCGGGAAUGUGGCUCUCUCGGGAGUGUUAUAGCCCGCUGCGUAAUACCCUGGUGCGGACUGAGGUCCGCGCUCUGCAAGGAUGCUGGCGUAAUGGUCAUCAGUGACCCGUCUUGAAACACGGACCAAGGAGUCGUCUUCGUAUGCGAGUGUUCGGGUGUCAAACCCCUACGCGGAAUGAAAGUGAACGUAGGAGAGAGCUUCGGCGCAUCUCCGACCGAUCCUGAUGUUCUCGGAUGGAUUUGAGUAAGAGCAUACGGGGCCGGACCCGAAAGAAGGUGAACUAUGCCUGUGUAGGGUGAAGCCAGAGGAAACUCUGGUGGAGGCUCGCAGCGGUUCUGACGUGCAAAUCGAUCGUCAAACAUGGGCAUGGGGGGCGAAAGACUAAUCGAACCUUCUAGUAGCUGGGUUCCGCCGA